CCCUCUAUGGGGUCACUAUGGGGCUGGGGGGGGUGUUAGGGACUGGGGGGAUGCAUUAGGGACCCCUCCCCUCAAUGGGGUUAAUAUGGGGCGGGACCCCCCCCCAUAUCCCAUAUAAGCCCCCCCAUAUCCCAUAUAAGCCCUCAAUGGGGUCAUUGUGGGGCAGGACCCCCCCCAUAUCCCAUAUAAGCCCCCAAUGGGGUUAAUAUGGGGCGGGACCCCCCCAUAUCCCAUAUAAGCCCCUAUAUCCCAUAUAAUCCCUCUAUGGGGUCACUAUGGGGCUGGGGGGGGUAUUAGGGACCGAGGGGGUGCAUUAGGGACCCCUCCCCAUAUAAGCUCUCAAUGGGGUCAGUGUGGGGUGGGAUCCCCCCCAUAUCCCAUAUAAGCCCCCCCAUACCCCAUAUAAGCCCCCCCAUAUCCCAUAUAACCCCCCAUAUCCCAUAUAACCCCCAUAUCCCAUAUAAUCCCCCAUAUCCCAUAUAAUCCCCCUAUGGGGUCACUGUGGGGUGGGACCCCCCCCAUAUCCCAUAUAAGCCCCCAAUGGGGUUAAUAUGGGGCGGGACCCCCCCGAUAUCCCAUAUAAACCCAUUGGGACCCCCCCAUAUCCCAUAUAAGCCCCCUCAUAUCCCAUAUAAGCCCUCUAUGGGGUCAGUGGGGGGGUCCGGCCCCAUAUAAGCCCCCAAUGGGGUUAAUGUGGGGUGGGACCCCCCCAUAUCCCAUAUAACCCCCCAUAUCCCAUAUAACCCCCCAUAUCCCAUAUAACCCCCCAUAUCCCAUAUAACCCCCCUAUGGGCCAGGAUCACCUGAUCUGCACACACAGAAAUUCUGGAAAUGUGGAUCACCGUCAUGGGACAUAUAGGGGUCAGUUUAUAUAGGGGAGUAUAGGGUCUGUAAUGGGGUAUGGGGUGUAUGGGGUCAGUUAUAGGGCCGCCAUGGUGCAGAUCAACCAGUACCUCACCGUCAUGGGACAUAUAGGGUCAGUUAUAGGGUCCUGUAAAUGGGGUCAGUAUGUGUGUAUGAGGGUGUAUGGGGUCAGUUAUAGAGUGUAUGGGGUAUAUGGGGUUGCCAGUUAUAGGGUAUGGGGGGUAUGGGGUGUAUGAGGUCAGUUAUAGGGUAUAUGGGGUGUAUGGGGUGUAUGGGGGGUCAAGGUUUAUAGGGUAUUAUGGGGUGUAAUGGGGUGUGAUGGGGUCAGUUAUAGGGUAAUAUGGGGUGUUAUGGGGUGUUAAUAAGGGUAUAUGGGGUUGUAAUGGGGUCAGAGUUAUAGGGUAUAUGGGGUGUUAUUGGGUCAGUUAGUAGGGUAUAUGGGGUGUUAAUGGGGUGUUAUAGGUAAUAAUGGGGUGUAUGGGUUGUUAUAGGGUGUAAUGGGGUGUAUGGGUCGGUAAUAGGGCCACCAUGGUGCAGAUCAACCAGUACCUGACUGUCAUGGGACAUAUAGGGUAUGGGUAUAGGGUAUAUGGGGUCAGUUAUAGGAUAUGGGGUGUAUGGGGUCGGUAAUAGGGUAUUGGGGGCAUCAAUGGGGACCGCCAUGCUGCAGAUCAACCAUACCUGACGGCAUCAUGGACUAGUAUAGGGUAUUGGGGUCUUAUAGGGUUCAGUAAUGGGUCGUAAUAGGGUCAGUGAUGGGGUUGGGGUCAGGAAUAGGGUCAGUUGAUGGGGUUGGGGUUCAGUAUAUAGGGUCAGUGAUGGGGUUGCGGAUCAGUAAAUAGGGUCAGUGAUGGGGUUGUGGGUCCCCAUUGGGGUUUGGGUUCAAUGUUUGGGGUCAGUAAUAGGGUUGGGGUUGAAGGUUUGGGGUCCCAGCCUGGAAAAACCCCAUUAGCUUUACGGAUCAACCUUUAUGGGGUCCUAAUGGGAUCCAUAGGGGGGGGGGGGGGUCCCCUGAUAUGGGGGGCUGGGCUCAACUAUGGGAAUCCAUAAAGCCUUAAUUGAUUAGGAAUCAAUAACACCAUUAAUUAUUAGGAUUAUCAUUAAUUAUUAGGAUUAAUCGAUCAUUAAUUAUAUCCCCCCAGCUCCCCCGUCCCACCCCCAACCCCCCCCAUGACCCCCCCCCUCCAUCAGCCCCCACAGACGGCCAGCAACUUCGCCUCCCCAGCGUACGGUUAA
This 2100-nucleotide long non-coding RNA is filed under the name Coturnix japonica (Japanese quail). RNAcentral's name for it is "lncRNA (ENSCJPG00005006561.1)". Lineage: Eukaryota; Metazoa; Chordata; Aves; Galliformes; Phasianidae. The record is from RNAcentral.